CUGCGAACGGCUCAUUAUAUAAGUUAUCGUUUAUUUGAUAGCACCUUGCUACUUGGGUAACCGUGGUAAUUCUAGAGCUAAUACAUGCUGAAAAUCCCGACUCCGGAAGGGAUGUGUUUAUUAGAUCCAAAGCCAACGCCCCCCGGGCUCACUGGUGAUUCAUGAUAACCGCUCGAAUCGCACGGCCUUGCGCCGGCGAUGGUUCAUUCAAAUUUCUUCCCUAUCAACUUUCGAUGUUUGGGUAGUGGCCAAACAUGGUUGCAACGGGUAACGGAGGGUUAGGGCUCGACCCCGGAGAAGGAGCCUGAGAGACGGCUACUACAUCCAAGGAAGGCAGCAGGCGCGCAAAUUACCCAAUCCCGACGCGGGGAGGUAGUGACAAUAAAUACCGAUAUAGGGCUCUUUCGGGUCUUAUAAUUGGAAUGAGUACAAUUUAAAUCCCUUAACGAGGAACAAUUGGAGGGCAAGUCUGGUGCCAGCAGCCGCGGUAAUUCCAGCUCCAAUAGCGUAUAUUAAAGUUGUUGUGGUUAAAAAGCCCGUAGUUGAACCUUGGGCCUGGCUGGCCGGUCCGCCUCACCGCGUGCACUGGUCCGGCCGGGCCUUUCCCCCCGCGGAACCCCAUGCCCUUCGCUGGGCGUGGCGGGGAAACGGGACGUUUACUUUGAAAAAAUUAGAGUGCUCUAGGCAGGCCUAUGCUCGAAUACAUUAGCAUGGAAUAAUGGAAUAGGACGCGCGGUUCUAUUUUGUUGGUUUCUAGGACCGCCGUAAUGAUUGAUAGGGACAGUCGGGGGCGUCAGUAUUCAACCGUCAGAGGUGAAAUUCUUGGACCGGUUGAAGACUAACUACUGCGAAAGCAUUCGCCAAGGAUGUUUUCAUUAAUCAGGGACGAAAGCUAGGGGAUCGAAGACGAUCAGAUACCGUCGUAGUCUUAGCCAUAAACUAUGCCGACUAGGGAUCGGGCGAUGUUAUCCUU
RNAcentral lists this ribosomal RNA (973 nucleotides) under Ophiocordyceps unilateralis. Its description in RNAcentral is "SSU rRNA". It matches the Rfam family "Eukaryotic small subunit ribosomal RNA", at positions 87 to 1070 of the family's 1831-position model. Lineage: Eukaryota; Fungi; Ascomycota; Sordariomycetes; Hypocreales; Ophiocordycipitaceae. The record is from RNAcentral.